RNAcentral lists this transfer RNA (75 nucleotides) under Chlamydiota bacterium. RNAcentral describes it as "Chlamydiae bacterium tRNA-Thr". It matches the Rfam family "tRNA". Rfam says of the family: Transfer RNA (tRNA) molecules are approximately 80 nucleotides in length. The record is from RNAcentral. Lineage: Bacteria; Pseudomonadati; Chlamydiota.
UGCUGGAGUAGCUCAAUUGGUAGAGCGCCCGACUUGUAAUCGGAUGGUUGAGGGUUCAAUUCCUUUCUCCAGCAA